Molecule: ribosomal RNA, 363 nt
Filed under: Triticum aestivum (bread wheat)
Lineage: Eukaryota; Viridiplantae; Streptophyta; Magnoliopsida; Poales; Poaceae
Description: partial small subunit ribosomal RNA
Source: RNAcentral
CAGGUCGCAGAGAAGCUUACCAUGGAGAAUUACCUUCUCUGGAGGGCACAAAUAGUGCCUCACUUCCUUGGCGCCGGCCUGUACGGCUACCUCGACGGAUCCAUCGAGGCAUCAGCGAAGCUCAUAGUCACCAAGGACAAGGAUGGGAAGGACCAGACCGUCCCCAACCCAGCCUACGACGCGUGGGUUAGACAGGAUCAGCAGGUCCUCGGUCACAUCCUCAACAAUCUGACGAGGGACGUGCUGGUCUCUGUCAUCUCCAUCAGGACAUCAUAUGCCUUGUGGACCUCUCUCGGUAACAUGUUUGCAUCGCAAUCUUGUUCCCGUAUAAAUAAUCUUCGCAUCUCCCUAGCAAAUACCUAG